RNAcentral lists this ribosomal RNA (467 nucleotides) under uncultured bacterium. Its description in RNAcentral is "partial 16S ribosomal RNA". It matches the Rfam family "Bacterial small subunit ribosomal RNA", at positions 28 to 507 of the family's 1533-position model. The record is from RNAcentral.
GACGAACGCUGGCGGCGUGCUUAACACAUGCCAGUCGAACGGAAAGGCCCUGCUUUUGUGGGGUGCUCGAGUGGCGAACGGGUGAGUAACACGUGAGUAACCUGCCCUUGACUUUGGGAUAACUUCAGGAAACUGGGGCUAAUACCGGAUAGGAGCUCCUGCUGCAUGGUGGGGGUUGGAAAGUUUCGGCGGUUGGGGAUGGACUCGCGGCUUAUCAGCUUGUUGGUGGGGUAGUGGCUUACCAAGGCUUUGACGGGUAGCCGGCCUGAGAGGGUGACCGGCCACAUUGGGACUGAGAUACGGCCCAGACUCCUACGGGAGGCAGCAGUGGGGAAUAUUGCACAAUGGGCGGAAGCCUGAUGCAGCAACGCCGCGUGCGGGAUGACGGCCUUCGGUUGUAAACCGCUUUCGCCUGUGACGAAGCGUGAGUGACGGUAAUGGGUAAAGAAGCACCGGCUAACUACGUG